This 72-nucleotide transfer RNA is filed under the name Aquisalibacillus elongatus. It matches the Rfam family "tRNA". Rfam says of the family: Transfer RNA (tRNA) molecules are approximately 80 nucleotides in length. Their secondary structure includes four short double-helical elements and three loops (D, anti-codon, and T loops). Further hydrogen bonds mediate the characteristic L-shaped molecular structure. tRNAs have two regions of fundamental functional importance: the anti-codon, which is responsible for specific mRNA codon recognition, and the 3' end, to which the tRNAs corresponding amino acid is attached (by aminoacyl-tRNA synthetases). tRNAs cope with the degeneracy of the genetic code in two manners: having more than one tRNA (with a specific anti-codon) for a particular amino acid; and 'wobble' base-pairing, i.e. permitting non-standard base-pairing at the 3rd anti-codon position. The record is from Rfam by way of RNAcentral. Lineage: Bacteria; Bacillati; Bacillota; Bacilli; Caryophanales; Bacillaceae.
GACUCCGUAGCUCAGCGGGAGAGCACUUGCUUGACAGGCAAGGGGUCGGUGGUUCAAGUCCACUCGGAGUCA